CCCGGGUUCACGCCAUUCUCCUGCCUCAGCCUCCCUCAGCCUCCGGAGUAGCUAGGACUACAGGCAUCCGCUACCACGCCCGGCUAAAUUUUUUGUAUUUUUAGUAGAGACGGGGUUUCACCGUGUUAGCCAGGAUGGUCUCCAUCUCCUGACCUCGUGAUCCGCCCGCCUCGGCCUCCCAAAGUGUUGGGAUUACAGGCGUGAGCCACCGCGCCCGGCCAGUCAGAGUGUCCAUGUAACUAACUCCUGGUUAAGAGAAUAUGAGUUAUGAGUAGAAGGCACACGUUCAGCUUCUGGCUUCUGUCCUUGGAAAGAGUGAUGAUUCCAUCCUUUGCUGGCUUUCUUCCUUCCCACUGACUGGAAUGUGGACUUGGUAGUGAGCUACCUUGGACUAUGUGGAUGAAGACAAAGAUAAAAGGAACCAAGGACUCUGAUGAUUCUGUAGAGAAGAGGAACGAUAGCUGCUCAAACUUUCACAUGAAAGAAGAAUAAACUAUCAGAUUUAAGCCACUGCUAUUUUGGGUCUUUGUGAUAAACAGUGUUUACCAUAUCCUAAUUCACUAUUCCUUCCAUUUCUAGGUUGACGAUGUUGAAUUAAAUAUGGUGCUCUAACUUGCAA
RNAcentral lists this long non-coding RNA (619 nucleotides) under Pongo abelii (Sumatran orangutan). RNAcentral describes it as "lincRNA". The record is from RNAcentral. Lineage: Eukaryota; Metazoa; Chordata; Mammalia; Primates; Hominidae.